AUCCAUCUGAUCGCACAGGAUUC
This 23-nucleotide microRNA is filed under the name Cavia porcellus (domestic guinea pig). Its description in RNAcentral is "cpo-miR-12083-3p". The record is from miRBase by way of RNAcentral. Lineage: Eukaryota; Metazoa; Chordata; Mammalia; Rodentia; Caviidae.